Long non-coding RNA from Dermochelys coriacea (leatherback sea turtle), 4445 nucleotides. RefSeq lists it as uncharacterized. The record is from RefSeq and is a predicted model, not a curated record. Lineage: Eukaryota; Metazoa; Chordata; Testudines; Dermochelyidae. The transcript has 2 exons.
CUAGAGAUUCCUGGAGUUUAAGACCAGACAGAUCAUUGUGAUGAUCUAUUUUGGUGUCUACGUACCACAGACUACCCAGUGAUUCUUGCUUUGAACUGAUGAUUUGUGGUUGAACUAGAGAAUUUUAUAGAAAGACAUUUAUCUACUUUUGAUUUAAAGUUCUAAAUCACAGAGAAUUUACCAGAUCCCUUGGGAAGCUGUUCCAAUUGUUAAUUACCCACACUUAAAAAAAUGUGUCUUAGUUCCACUUUUAAUGAUGAUUGAGUAGAUGCAUGUUCCCUCCUAAUCAAUACUGAACCAUCAGUAUAGCAAAGUAGUACUUUGGGUGGCAUUUUUAGGUUCAUUGUAAGCCCAAAGUCUUGGUCACUUGUGAUCAGUAAGAUGGCAUGGCACUUUUAUAAGUGUGUUAACUCUGUUAUUCUGGCCUGAUUCCAACCUGAGUAAUUCUGUUUUGCCUCCCUAAAUUCCUCCUGCAGUUGGAUACCUUCUUCUUUUUCUAAACUGUUGUGUGGUGUUGCUCUGCCCUUUACAAGCAACAAUGUUUUGGAUGAAAUCUGCACUGCAGAUCUGUGUAUAAUGUGUUUGGGGGAACUGUAUACAUGUAGGAUAACAACAUUUAUUACGAAUAAUGAAAAAUAGGAUACACAUCCUAAGGAUUAACAGCUAAUGGUGAAGUCUGGUCAGAAGUCAAACACAGUUUAGAUUGUAAGCUCUUUGAGGCAAGGACUAUCUCUUAGGCACUGUACAAACACUCAAUAUCACCAUGGGGGUGGAGUACGGGGUAUGGGACCUGUUCUUGGUUGGUCCCUAGGCACCACCAUGAUGAACAUGAUACAUUUAAAAAAUAAAACAAAAUCAAAGCCAAAUACCCAGUCCUCCUCAAAAAUUUCAACCAACCAGACAAAAACACAGACUUGUUCUGGUCUCUUUGCAUGUGUGAAUGCUGAACCUGAAAAACGCAGGAAAGCUAAUAAAAAAGAUGUUCUCAAAUAUAACCCUGUGAAUCAGUCAAUAUGGUAAAUGCAGUUGCAACCUGUGAAAUUUUAAGUCGUCUUAAUGUGAAGUGCACCUAACAAUAAUAAGAUUCCGUCAGACUUGCAAGCAGCUUUCAUUUUUCUUGUAGGUGUUUUGGUUUUUUUACAUGUAGUAAUUACAUGAUUUGGCAAGAUUUCCAAGUGUGAUGGGGCGCUUUUCAUAGAAGUGUUUUUUUUUUUUUAAAGUUUUCAUUUGAGGAAUAAUUAGAUGAAAUAGAGAAGUUAAGCAUUUCUCGGUGAAACUCACCUUUAGUUAGUCUGCUGUGAAAUCAAAACUGAGCAGCAUGGAUUUAAAAUCCAAAGUAAUCUUAGUCUCAUUUUGAUUUUUGUUUAAUCCUAAACCCUAAAAAUUAUGAAUAUUGAAGGUUAUGGUAUAGAACUUCACUUUUCUCUCCUUUGUAACUGACAACUGCACAGCUGGAGAUUAAGUACACAAAUAAUGUAAUAUACCAUAUGCUUAGAUGUCAAGUAAGAUGUGUAAAUAAAGGGCCUGUCUUAUUUCUUAAAGUCCUUACUAACAUUGUUUAUAAUCUUUUGUCCUAAAUAAGGGAUCCAUAGGUUUGUAUCUGCCCUUGUAUGUAUUCUGAAACUUACUAGGAAGCUAUGGUUUCAGACCAAUCCUAUGUGGUAAAGACUCCUUGGUCUUUAUUUCUGUCAUUAUUUUGCUAUUACUUUCCUUGUCUAAAAGAGGAGAUGAAUAUUCAGCCCAGUGUCUGAGUCAGAAUGAUCAUUAACCAAAAGGCAAAGCAGCAUUUGGUUUGCUUUGUAUUCACAGUCCCUAGGAGAGGCACAGAGACCUCCGGUACAGAUUCAGUCCCUUGUUCCAGAGGCGACCUCCAGCUUGUGUUCUGGCCAGGGGUCUGUUGAUCUGGUUUAUUAUUAAGAGUUGUUCUCGGAUUUAAAAUAAAAUCAGAUUGUUACAAUCUUCCAUUUAGUUACUACUCUGCUGGCCUGCCAACUGCCUUUCAACUCAAAUAAUUCCUGCCAAAGCAAAUGCUCCAAUAUGCUCCUAUGCUUGUAGAUAAUGAGCUCUGCUUCUAAUGCUGCCACGUUAUUGUCCAUGUGCAUAUCUACUGAGUGUUCAGGAGUGGGACUCAUUUAUUUACAGAACAGAUAAAGAACACUAGUUGGUUCUAUCAUAUGCUUCGUUUUCUACGCUAUGAACAACUUCGCUUUAUCCAUUAGCCAGGUCUUGGAACAGCAUUUUCCUCCCUUUCUCCUCAGCUGAAAGCACAAUAAAUAGCUACAUUUCUGAUAUGGCAUUAGUUGAAACGGUGUUCUACACCUUAAAGAGACAAUUUAUUAUUGUUACAGAAUAAUUUUUGGUAAGCUGCAACUUUUUACCAAACUGGGAUGUAGUUUAAAAUAUAUAAAAAACCCAACUGGACUGGAAACUGGUUAUAAUUUGACAUCUUGGAAUAAAAGGGUGUCUUGGCUUAGAUACACAUCUUGAACCAACCUGGAUUAUGUGAUGCCACGAGGCAUCCUUUGAUACCUCCAGAAGACUGCAGUUAUCAGUAUAAAUAAUGUAUUUCCCAGAGCACCCAUUAUUUCUAGCUAUUUUACAAAGAGAAAAGAGGGCAUGAUCCCUGCUCCAAGGAUUUUACAAUCUACAGACAGACAGAAGUUAGAGGAAAGUGUACAGCCUAUAGAAGAUGGUAAAAGUAGUGAGUAAAUGGCCACAUCUUGAUAAUAUAAGAUUAAUCCUAUCCAAUUUUCCCCUCAGAUCUGCCAGUGUAAGUCAGAUAGUUUUCAAUACAAAAAUAAUAUAUGAUCAAUUUCUGCCCAUUCAGUUAGAUUGCUUUCUAUCCAUAAUGCACAUUGCAAUACAAGUCAUGUAGCACAGAGGAAGGUUAUGAGUUUUGCUACAGCUAUUUCCAGUUUCUUUGACGCACAUACAGAUGUAAUAAAUUGUAUAUUAAAUGGAUUUUUGGAACAGGGAGCUGGAAUAGUAGCUUGCUCCAUCCACUCCAUGCAUCAGUCUGGUAUUGCAGUGCUUCCAGGAAUGGUGCACCUCCCAUCUGGGAGAAUAUUCUGGUUAAAAGAAAGUGGGGGGAAAAAAAAAUUGCUGCGUUACUGUCUUGUUUUUAAUGUUAAUACAUUUCUCGUUUUUUUGGGGUUAUUUGUAUUUUGUUUUUAGUAGAGGCACUUGGGGGAGGGUAGGCUACUUUUCUUAAUUUUACUGUUGUUUUAUAGGCCAUUUAAGUGGCUCUUUUAUUAGUCUAUUCUAUGUAGGUGCUCCCACUGCUCUCAUUAGUGUACCUUCCAAAAGUGUGUGGUUUGGAUCAGUCUUUCAUCUGUGUUCCCACAGGAGAGAAUUUUUCCAUCCCUUUCCCCUUGAGAAAAUGCCCCUGUUUUAGCUUAGGGAGUAGGCUCUGUAAAUGUUUCCCCCAAACUAGGAAUAGUUUAUAGGAGCAUUAGAGGAGGAAGGUUUGAAAUACUUUCCUCAUGGAUUGUAUUUUCUAAAUGGACAACCUACCCUAAAUUCUCAAUUGCUGAGGGGCAAUCUUCACUUAUUGUAUAUUUGCUUUCCACAACCAACUCUGUACUUUUCAUGAGUGGUGUACCCGAAUACUUUGGAUGCUAAUAUCUAAACUGUAUUCUUAAAUUUAUUCACCUAAAUUUGGGUUAUUGCUGAUUAUGUAUUAUAUGUAUCUUAUGGACUACCCACAAAUACAAAGUUUGUUUUUAAAAUUUAAGCACUGUACACAGAUGUACAGACUCUUUUUUUUCUUAACCUGUGUACUAUAUAAUUUUUUAAUAUUAGCUUUAAUAAAAAAAUUUAAACAGUUUAAGUGUGGUACCUUUUAUUUCUCCUACACCACCACCAAUAGGUGUGCAAACUAAUUUUACGGUUGUUAAAAUUAUCGAGCACAGCAUUUGAUUUCCCUCCAUGGGAAGAGGAUCUGCUAGUACAAGCAGACUUUCAUCUAAAAUUCAAAUGGUGUAGUUAUCGCCCAAAAGAAUAUUCCUCUAGUGACCACUCCUUCAGAUCUCUCCUUAAGACUCACCUCUGCCAUGAUGCCACCUUACCAUGGUCAGGCAAAUUAAUAAUGCGCAAACAUGCUUAUUUUACUCUUACCUUGUUCUUCUUUGUUUGUCAAUUUCAUCCACUUUUGGAGUCCUGCCAUAAACCUAGAUUGUGAGCUCACUGGGGCAGGGACUGUCUUUGUAUUACAGGUUUGUGCAGUACUUAGCACAAUGGGUCUAGAGCCCGGCCUGAGGCCUCCAAGUGCUCCUGUAAUACAGACUUGUCAUUCAGAGGGUGGAAUACACUAAAGAGUGUUCCAAACUAGAAUUUUCACUCAAUGUGCGGGGUGGACUAAACAUUAUUAUAAACAAGAGUCACUGGGAAAGUGGAUGGUGUUUUGAAAACAAAAACUCCAAAUGAGCUUGAUUUGAAAAGUGUAA